GGGCAAAAUUUAAAAAAAAAAUAAAACAGAAAACAUUGGCCUAAUCAAACAGCAAUGCAGAGAUGGGGAACUAACUACGCAAAUAACCCCUUAAAGGGGAGAAUGAGCAAAUCCAACAUAUGGAUUAACGCGCAGACUACUUUUCACCCCCCAAAGUACUGUUUCAAAAUUAAUUGACCAUUAUUUUGUUUUUUUCUACAGCAUUAAAACCUUUUUCCUUAGAAAACCAAAAGCUUUCUCUUUUACUCUAAAAAACCCUGUAGGUUUUAGCCUCCACAGCACCACCAUUAAAUCUGGUAGUCGGUAAUACGUGAAGAGAGUCUCCGACUCUGCUGAGGCCAUACUCAGAGACUUAGUCGCCUCUCAACAUCAGGAGAACGAAGGGAAAAGACCUAAACCGAGGCUCCAAUCGAUGAACCAAAGGUUCAUUUGAGCACGUCUCUGAUGUGGCCUAGUAGAGGAGCGCACGACACGGAGGGACGCUCGACGUGCGGUGCUUGGGAACCUCCAUGGUUGCGGCGGCUGAGGGUGUUAGCUGCUAGAGUUUUCAUUUUUCUUUAAUUUUGCUAGGCUGUUAAGGUUGUUUUGGGUUUAAGUCUGAUGGGUUUAGGGUUUGAGUAAUGGUUUGUAUUGGGCUUAGAGAUUGGGUUAAGUUUGUUUUGCUAAUUGUUUUGGGUUUUAAAUGUAUUGGGCCCUGGGCAUAAAUUGGGCUUAACAUUUAUAGAAUGAAAGAUGGUUCAAUAUUCA
Gossypium arboreum is the source of this 747-nucleotide long non-coding RNA. RefSeq lists it as uncharacterized. The record is from RefSeq and is a predicted model, not a curated record. NCBI's taxonomy places the organism in Eukaryota, Viridiplantae, Streptophyta, Magnoliopsida, Malvales, Malvaceae. The transcript has 2 exons.